UACGGGGGGAGCAAGCGUUGUUCGGAUUUACUGGGCGUAAAGGGCGCGUAGGCGGCGCAACAAGUCACUUGUGAAAUCUCCGGGCUUAACCCGGAGCGGCCAAGUGAUACUGUCGUGCUAGAGUGCGGAAGGGGCUACUGGAAUUCUCGGUGUAGCGGUGAAAUGCGUAGAUAUCGAGAGGAACACCUGCGGCGAAGGCGGGUAGCUGGGCCGACACUGACGCUGAUGCGCGAAAGCCAGGGGAGCGAACGGG
Molecule: ribosomal RNA, 253 nt
Filed under: uncultured bacterium
Lineage: Bacteria
Description: partial 16S ribosomal RNA
Rfam family: Bacterial small subunit ribosomal RNA
Source: RNAcentral